Panicum virgatum (switchgrass) is the source of this 2669-nucleotide long non-coding RNA. RefSeq lists it as uncharacterized. The record is from RefSeq and is a predicted model, not a curated record. NCBI's taxonomy places the organism in Eukaryota, Viridiplantae, Streptophyta, Magnoliopsida, Poales, Poaceae. The transcript has 2 exons.
CGGUACCUAUUUUUGAAGAACCGAACUUGUGCAGGAAUCGAAGAACCGAACCGAUCGGUUCGGUUAGUACCGAAUGCCCAAGCUUAGUAGGACUAGAAGUCUAGAACUAGCUGCAGUAGCAUAGCAGGUAAGAGUUGUGGACUAAUUUCUGGAACAUGGAGCAAUAUAAUGUUAGCACUCAUCACGUCUCCUUUUUCUAUUUGAUAUAACAUGAGGAGUAACUUCUAACGUAAUCUAUUUGGUAGAUACUAAUAUUUAUAUAUAUAUCUGAGCAAUAGUCACUGCACUAGCUUGCGAGCUGGAUCGAGCCAAGCCGAGCUGGCUUUUCUACUUGUUAACGAGCUAAGUCGAGCUGGCUUGUUUAGAUAAUGAGAUGAAGCGAGCCGAGUCAAGCCGGCUCAUUUUCCAGCCCUACUUUAUUAUCGUAUUGGUUUACAAUGAUAUUCGUUACGCAUCUCCUUCUACUAAAGAAAAAUAUAUACUUACAGAAUAUACAAUUAGAUAAUAGCUUUACUCAAUUAUUGAAUUUUAAAUUGUCAUGUAUUGCUACAUGGACUCCAGUAUACCACACUUAGAAAAAAACAAGAUUUGAGAACCCGUCUUAAUGUCUCAUGAACUAUCUCCUUGAUUGUUCAUGCCACUCAUACACCAGACCCCUAUGGUUUCCAUGUGGCAAAAUUGUUUAUAAGAGAGCACUAGUUACUAGUCAUUGUUACUUUUUGAUGAUGUGUUAGUCUACUUUCCCUUUGUUACUCAUUACUCUAUUUUCUUUCAUUUUUAAAAAUGAUGGUACUAGAUUCAUCAUGAAACCAACUACCAUAACAUGUAUCUUUUUCUAUUUGAAAUAACAUAUUUUUAGAUAUCUUGUUGGUCAAAAAUGAAAAGAUUUGGCUUCAGAGAAACCUAAAUGCAGCUAUAUUUUUGUAUGGAAGGAGUAUGCUACUAAUAGAUAGCUAUCUUCAUAACUCAUCACUAUUCCGCAUUUUGCCAAAAUGAUUAUCCCUAGACAAGGCAUCUAGUGCCAAAAUGUCUUCCCAGCAAGCUUUGAAAAAUAUUUCUUUUCAGAACUUCCUGUUCAAGAAUCAGUUCCGCACAUGUCAAUAGAAAGAAGACAAUGAUAUGCACUACAUCGUCUAAAAAACAUGCUCAAGUUGACUUGUCAUUUCAUGGCCAAUGAUGUGGAUGAAGCCUCAGCUAUUAGUGAGAGAGGUUGGCGAGCUUGGAGGCAGGCAACAAUAUCAAAAGGGUGUGGAUGGUUGUUCUUCAGAGAUGGAUCUUGUUGCAGCCUCAUAUACGGGAGUGAGUGCGUAUGACCUAUCAAAAUUCGAAAGGAUGACAACGUGUCAAUAACAAAAACAGGAUUGCAUGAAUCUUAGUGAAAAUUAUACAACAAAUCUUCCUGAUGUUCUUUAAUCCCAUAAGAUGGUACCUGAGGAUGCUGCCAUCAAAGCUCAGAACUUCAGUGAAACAUCUAAGGCGUUUUGUGGGUUUAGCUAUAUCUUGUUUAGAUGGGGAACCAGGAUGAGUGGGCGAUGGUGGAUCAUGGAAUGGACUCCAUUUACUGCUUACAAUUUUCACUAGUUUGCGUGGCGAGUUAUUUUUUGAGCCUCCUCGCUGAUUGAAUAGCCUUGCUGUUGGACCAGUUGCUUGAUACUCGGUGCAUAGUUCUCUUAAUGUCUUUCUCACAUUCUGCAUUGUCUCAUAAUAUUCUGUGAUAUCUCCUUUUUGAAGCAUUUUUGACUCAACCACCCUUUCACAUAUUUUUUCACAUAAUUUUGGACUGAACAAAGGGAUACCAAAUUCUAUGCUCAAUGGUAUCCAUUCGUAACUUUCAUACUCAGGAAUUUCACUGAAUUCAUUAACCCUAUGAAGCCUUACUAAAUGAAGGUAACCAACUAUGCUCAAAUCAACCUUACUGGAUAGAUCAUCCAAUAAUAAAAUCAAAUUUGAUACUUGUUUCUUAGGCAAGUCAUCGCCUACUAUAGUGGAUGAAAUUGACCCAUCAGCAUUUUUCAAUGGCAAUGGGAUAUCCAUGGUGAUAAUAUUUCCUGUUUCAUCUAGAUCAUCUAUGCUUAGUGGUUGCACUAUCACAGCAGAAUAUUUUGUCAUUGAGUUCAAGUAAUGCAAUAGAAGAUUUCCUUUCACUAAAUUCCCUUCAAACUUUCCUCCUAGUCCACCCACCACAGAUUGAUCCCAAGACCAUAUCAAUGCCUUCUCACAGCUAGCUAAUGGUUCGGGCAACAACCUCAAUCGUUGCCCCUUCAUAAAAACUACUGAUAUUGGGCCACAACUCCCUGACGUAUACAGUGCCAAUUUCAUCCAUGGUGUCAUUGAUGAGUAAGAAGGUGGACCAAAAUGUACCAAGCCAUUCGGACAGGGUAGAAAUGCUGAAUAUGGAAGAGGAAUCAUAGACACUAUCAUAUCAUAGUCCCUGGAAAGUAGUCUUUCUAGUGUUGAUGGGGCUAGAGAAGCUAAACUCUCGCAACGAAGAAUAUUGACUCGAUAACUUCUUUUACUCUUCAACAAAGAGCAGCAACCAGUUGAACCAUCAAACUUUGUAGCAUGAUUGUUACCAAAUUCAUACUUAAGUAUGUUUUCCUUGCCUUCAGAUACAAUAGUUGAGGGUGAUGACAUCUUCCAAUCUGCAAUUUCAGAAUCUCCCUUUUGUU